This is an RNA transcript of Eucalyptus grandis, 2115 nucleotides long. It is a transcript of the gene named 2-oxoglutarate-dependent dioxygenase DAO-like, with no coding region annotated. The transcript has 3 exons. Lineage: Eukaryota; Viridiplantae; Streptophyta; Magnoliopsida; Myrtales; Myrtaceae. The record is from RefSeq and is a predicted model, not a curated record.
AAUCGAUCCCUCUUGCUCCUUCUUGCAAACAAGGCAUAGACCCAGAAAAGAAAAGAGAUGGGGCAACAGGAAGGAAGAAAUGUUCCGGUGAUCGAUCUGCAACGCUUUCCAUCGCAGUACGAGAAGCCGAGAGGAGCCUGCGAGGAGUGGGGGUGUUUCCGGGUGCUGAACCACGGGAUCUCGGAGGCGCUGAUGGCCGAGAUGAAGGCGGUGGCGAGAUCACUGCUUGAUCUUCCCAUGGAGGCGAAGAAGAAGAAGAAGAAGAAUGCGGUGGAAGGGAGUGGGUGCCUGGAGCCCGACAAGGCAUAUCCUCUCCAUGAAUCUUUGGGGCUGUGGGACAUGGGCUCUGCUCAAGGUGUGGAUGAGUUCUGUUCCCAGUCGAAUGCUUCUCCUCAUCAAAAAGAAAUAAUGACGAUCUAUCGUGAAGCAGUACAUGAACUGGCCAUGAACAUGGCAGACGAGCUGACUUGAAGCACGGGACUGAGCAGCGGCCGGUUUGAAGAUUGGGCCUGCCAACUCAGGCUGAACAAAUACAGCUUCAAACUAUUGGCUUUACUGGUGCAGUACUACACACAGAUAUGGGAUUCCUGGCCAUUAUUCAAGAUGACGAUGACGUGAGUGGUCUCGAAGCGAUGGACAAGUCUGGUUCGUUUGUACCAAUUGAUGCUUGGCCAGGCACUUUUCUCGUCAAUUUGGGAGAGAUGGCUGUCGUAUAUCCCUUCUCAUCAAUUCAGGUACCAUCGGAAUUGUUGUAGUGGUGUCCACCGGUGCCAGUUCAACUGAUACAUGCCGUUCAGAUGGGAACCGACGAACACAGCAUGAAUGCCAUAUUAUUAUCCCUCUUUUAUUUGACUGGUUGAGAAUCUAUGAAUUAGCUGUAGAAUUCCCUUCGUCUAAUGGUUUCCAAUAAUAGUGAUUACUCCUCUCAUUACAUGUUCUAGGCAUGGAGCAAUGGAAGAUUGUGCACUUUGAAGCAUCGAGUUCAAUGCAAGGAAGGAAGAGUUCGGGUAUCAAUUGGAACUUUUGUAAAGGCACCAAAGGAGGCAGAUAUUGAAGCCCCAGAAGAGUUUGUGAAUGCUGAACGCCCACGCCUCUAUGCCCCUAUUUCUUUCACGGAUUAUAAGUAACUUCGGUCUGUGAAAAAAUUGCACACAGCACCUGCAGAGGGCCACACGAAAGCUGGUCUAAAUGGCGGGACGUAUGGCACUGGCAGCAAUCCUGAAGCAAUCUGCAAAACGGCCUGUGUUUUGGGUCUCUCGCUUGCAUUUGGGUGUGAACAUGCCAGACCCAAGAGCAGCAGCCGCUCCGCCUCCUCUGCCACAUAAUCUCCCCUCAGCCUCUCGUCAACUGCCUCGAGUAUUCGCCCAUCACGAUGGAGCGACCAGACCCAAUCCACCAAGAAGCAGAAUCCACCAAUCUUGGUCCAUGGUCGCUGACCACACACAACCUCAAGAACCACUGCUCCAAAGCCAUAGAUGUCAGAUUCCCUAGUGGCUUUACCUGCAUCAUGAAUGGGGGCACUGUCAGACCAUGCAUUAGAAUGUUCAUGGUUUCUGUGCCUGAUCGUUUUUUGGAAUUCCAAUGAGCAAAUGUGUCAAAUUUUAAUCGUCUCAAGAACUAUGAUGGACUACCUGUGUGCAGGCACUCAGGUGCAAUGUACCCAAGAGUACCCGGUACACCUUCGAGCUCUGCGUAGGAGGUCUUCCCAUUCUCUAUGGCUCGGGCCAAACCGAAAUCGCCUAGCCGGGCGUUGAAGCUAGAGUCAAGCAUGAUGUUGCUGGCCUUAAGGUCUCUAUGCACAACCUUCUGUUCGUAUUCAUUGUGCACAUAGUGCAAAGCUGAUGCAACUCCUGAUAUGAUCUGGUAUCUGAGGUCCCAUCUUAAGGUUUCUUUCUCCGCUCCACAGAAUAUGUGCGCGUCUAGGCUACCAUUCGGCAUGUACUCGUACACCAGCAGAAGCUUCCCAUUCUUGUAGCACCACCCUGAGAACGAAAAACAAUAUCGGUUGGGUGGUAUGAUGAAGGAUUGCUUAAGUAACUCAAUUUGACUUGUAUAACAAACCUUUGAUUUAGCCACCUUUUGCUUGGUUCAAUUCAACUCAAUUUAUUUGAUUAA